Molecule: long non-coding RNA, 2248 nt
Organism: Sebastes umbrosus (honeycomb rockfish)
Lineage: Eukaryota; Metazoa; Chordata; Actinopteri; Perciformes; Sebastidae
Exons: 2
Source: RefSeq, a predicted model, not a curated record
UUUUAAAUUGAAGUUGUGCAAAAAUUCCAAAAUUCCCAAGCUUAAAUUCCCUUGAAAAUUUCCUGGGAAUGUUCCGACCCUUUCGAAACCUUUCCCAGCCACAUGCCAGCGAAUCAGAGUAUAUACACUCUCACUGACAAGAGACCCAGAUAAUCCAGAGAGAAUUACACAGUUGUCCCAUGCAGCACCUGUCUACUCCGGUGUUGUCUUUGCCUCCUCCUCUGCAGUGAUUUACCCCGUAGCAGGAGGAGGCAGCCAGAACAAGUGCUUUCCUCUGUUUUACUCCUCUUGACACAGUUGGAGUUCGUCUGUAUCGGUAUAUAUUUUUUCCCCCUUUCUUGAUCAAAACACAUCCUGUCAUUUGUCAUUACUUAUUACAUGUAUGACAAUUAGAAAAUUAAACAUAAGAUGACAGAAACAGAUAAACCAUAACUUUGUAUUUGAUGUAUUUAAAAGGUCAGAUUUUUUUUUUCCUCCCCUAAAGAUAUUCCUAUUUAGGCAUACACAAUCUUACAUUACAUAUUCAUUUCAUCAACUAGUUUAAGUCAACAUAAGUGUUUCUCCAUAUUGCUUUUUCAAUACAACACCACGGUCAUUUGCUGACCCAGCUGCUCUGAACAUGGAUAUUGGACUCCCCAUUGUACGCCGAGAUUCAGAGCUGCCUUUUGCAAUGAAUACCAAUACUGGGUAGGCAUUCAGCUGUGAAUUACUAUCCUGGCACCCGGAGUAAUCAGCCUAAAUCAAUGCUGUUGUGACAGGUUUGACUGUAAGUAGCCCAGCCUUGCCUAGCCGUUAUGUGUGAUUGGACGCCCAGUGCUCCCAGUCCAGCAAUGCUCUUACAUAAUGCUGGAACAUUUAGCACACAAGUGCACUGUAACCCUCUACGGGCUUAAUACUUAAAGUCACACAGUGAGCUGUAUCCACACGCACACUGACAUAAACACAGGUGUACAUAUUUAGUGCAGCUACUCUGCAUUGAGGCUCAGUGUUAACAAGCUGUACGGACACACUAAAAUACACCAUCCAGACUUGGACUGGCUAAAGCUGAAAGUAGCAGCAUGGGUCGCAUUUCAUGCUGCCAGGGUGCCACUGAGCAAGUGAUGUCAUCGCUGGUGCGUUCGUCACAUCCUCCCGCCCCCGUGGCUCCUCGUAGCCAACCAGCAGCCAGCUCUGCAGGAACAGGAAGAGCCAUCUGGACCUGUUGGUUCUCUCCUGGUAGGGGUGGUGUUGUGGUGGGGACGAUGUCUAUGUCUCUCUCUGUAUAUUCUUCAUUUCUGUCUGUCUUUGGCAUAUUUUGUUUGUCUGCGGAUAUGCAUUCGUGCCUCUUCUUCUUCUUUGGGUGUAAGCUAUAAGUACUAACUUGUAGUAUAGGGAUUUCAUCUCCAUGGGCUAUUAUUUCCUUGUGUCCUCCAUAGUGCAUCCUUCCUUUUACUCUAGUAUUAAUCCCUGAUUUAACAUACCAUAAGUAGAUUAGUGCAAAUUCUGUGGAUGAGCUCGCCUUGCUCAGAAACCACAUCCUAAAAAAACACACUCAUGCCUGGCACGAAGGUUUGGAGUAUGUCUUUGUCAUGCUCCCUUCCACCAUGCCUGAUAUUUUUAUAACUGAGAAACCAAAAUGACAGCUUCUUGUUACUUUCAGCAGUAUGUACACAGGAGUAUGUCGGGGGAUGUGUGAUUAUUGUUAUUCUGCACGAUUUGUAAGGAGGGGAGACCUUGUACCGGCAAUUUAUUUUCUCUCCGACCUUGUAGUGAAUCAACCAUAGAAAUAAAACAGGAGUAGAAUGGAUAUUGAACUGUUUUCCGUGGUCAUUUGAGUAGUACAAAAGAAAAUGUUGAUAGUUGUUAUGGUGACAACACAUGUCAGACAGUGUGGUCGCAGCUCGCCGGGAAGAAAGCGGACGCAGCUCCUAGAGACUGAUGGCUGGCUAGUUAGCUAGGUAGCUUCUCUGGAGCGGUGGGGAGUGAAACGGAGGGGCCGUAGACCCAGCACUGCCGCUGUCCACCAGCCAGCUGUUCGGCUCACUUUCUGAAACCAAUAUAGCUUUAAAGCAUGGCGAAAUUAUGGGCCGUACACAUGCCACGUCUAAAAAUGCGUGGAAUCCAAUGUGCUUACUAAGCAACCAAAACCUGCGGAAAGGGUGACGCAAGUAAAAUAGUCUGUGGGACAGAUCAUAAGGCUCUGGGUAGCCCUGCACUAAAAUUAUUAACUUCUCCUCCAUAUAUUUACCGUAGACUGAUAUUUACGAAA